Molecule: long non-coding RNA, 1260 nt
Filed under: Ananas comosus (pineapple)
Lineage: Eukaryota; Viridiplantae; Streptophyta; Magnoliopsida; Poales; Bromeliaceae
Description: long non-coding RNA (ACOM_LNC034003)
Source: RNAcentral
CUAUCCUUUUUUAUUCGGUUUUUUUUUAAAAAAAAUUUGAAUAUGUGGAAUUUAUUGUCACGUCCCAAAUGACAACGAAAGUCUGGAUUAUGUUAAUAGAUCUACUGCAUGCAUAAAAAUAUAUUUUAUACAUACGAAGCGUCAAAGAUGACAGCGGAAAUUCGAAUUAUACCCGCCGCAUGCACAAAGAUACUUUUUAUAUAUACGAAGCGUCAAUAAAACCCGUCCAACAAAAAUUAAUUAAAAUCUAACAACAAUAUGUAUCAGAGUGAAAUAAAAGCUAUAUAUUCUAGCAACAUUGUAAAUAUAUAAUAAUCGCCGCACCAGUCUUCAAAAUAGUAUAAUAUCUCUAACCACGUACUUCCAUCUAAAAAUACCGUACAGCUAGCUAUAUAUAGGAAUAAGUGGUCCAGCUACACACACAAAGAGGGUAAAAGAUGCUAACUUUUUGCGAUUUUCGUAUCUCAAUCAGUCGCCGGUACUGAAGACUCUAAAAUAAAAUAUUAAUAAAGAGGGUAUGAGAAUUAUAAUCAAUAAUCUCCAGUGAAUACGAUCGACAACGCUGACAGUCUAUGCCGCUAGGUCCAUAAAAGACAGAAAUAAUAAAUAACUGAGCAAUAGAAAUAAAUAGGUACUGAUAUAAAUAAUUGCUGAAAGGAACUAUUAAUUACUAUCAUGCCUCUACAAUAUAACUAAACCUGUGAAUCAUGUAUUUCAUACAUAAAUUAAAUACUGAAUAAAAUAGCACAAUAAUGUCUAAUCAUAAUGAUCGACUCAACAGUCAAGUCUAGUCUAUCUCGCGCCGUGUCCAACACCCACCUAUAGUGAUCCACUAUAUAUCAUGCAACCUCCAGAGUGGCAUUUGCGGGGCGCUACCCCAAUCGAAAAUAGUAUCAUUGUCAAGUUGAAAAUAGUAUGCAGACUAUAAUAAUCUCACAUUAUAACAAUACUGCCAUAGUGUCCCAUAUACAAUUAUAAUCUCACAUUAACUAUCACUUUUAAAAAUAUUCAUGUCUCAAUAUACUCUACGGAUAGAUGUUAAAAUACUAUUAUUAUCUCAGCUAUGUCAAUAAGUCAUUUGAUAGGCUAAAUAAUAUAAUAUGGAUAUAAAAGUUAGUCUGCCAAUUUUGACAAUACGGAAUCCAUCUAUAUCACAAAUUCGAGAAACAAAACAGUUAUCAGGAUAUAUAGUGUGGUGAUGCGUGAUCCAGUAUUGCUCUUCUAGUUUGAACAACAGCCACAACACCAUAGAGUAACUCA